This 2202-nucleotide long non-coding RNA is filed under the name Mus musculus (house mouse). RNAcentral's name for it is "predicted gene, 36535". The record is from RNAcentral. Lineage: Eukaryota; Metazoa; Chordata; Mammalia; Rodentia; Muridae.
GAAUGUAGGCUUCCUGUAUGAGACACUGAUUAUUGAGCUAAGGACUGGCUGUAGCCUAGACAGUCUUCCAGCCUGGACGGAGGCCUCCUGAGCAACUCAGAGUGAAUGUGUUUUCAGAGUUAAGUACCAGUUAUUCCUAGGUCAUCGGGAGGUCUCUACUUUGAAAGUGGGGAAACUGAGUCUCAAGCUCGGGGACAUCAAUAGUCAGGAAGCUCAGAUCCACAGAGAGAAGCUGGCUUCUGCCCGAGUUCCAUACUCCUCUAGGCUUCUCCAUCGGCCACAUGGACUGCACUAGGAGGUCUGUGUCCCUCGUUGACCCCGAAGCCACCUCCUUGUUCCUUGUGGUACCCAACAGGGCACAAGGAUAGCUUCCCCAGGGAAGGUUACAGAUGUGUGUCUCUCAGCCAAGGACAGAGCCCAGGACAACAGACAGACAAACAGAUGGAUGGACGGGAGGCUCCUGCUCCUUGUUACAGUCAAGUGCAUCAUCUCUGUCUGAGCCUGCCACCUUCAGUAUUUGGUAGCCACCCUUCAGAUGAUGGAAAUUCCAUUCUGACCUCUUUCCAGGCACGUUCAGAAUCUCUGGGGUUGAGACUUCUCCAAAAACUUCUGCAGGAUCCUGGUGGGAAGCUCUCUCCUCUCUCUGCGUCAGCUUCCUGGGGGACCCACCGUUCCUUCCAGCCCAGAGCGGCAUCACUGUCUACACAUCACAAGCCUGGGUUGGUGUCGAGUGUCUCUGACUUUGGAGUCUCGAGCCCCGGACUUAGUUUUAUGGGCUUUGGCUGUCGAGGGCAGCCGACGACUCCAUCCAUCAACCGGGGACUGCUCUAACACUAAUGGUGAAUUUAUAGAAGUGGUUAAACAAAGUGUUGACAAUGCGGACGGUGUGUUUCUGAUUAACACACGAUUCCGAGGGAAGCUGCCAUCCGAGGGGGGAGUCAGUAAAACACAGCAGUGAAUUCCCAGGCCCCGGAGACUCCGACUAGACUGGAUCACCAGAGGUUGCGCAAGGAGAUCAUGAGUCUGAGGCUGCUGUGGGGACUCUUGUACAAACCCAGAGCCACCCCUCCCUUCCCCCCCUUUUUUUUUCUUGAGAGAUUACAUCUGAGUUCUCUCUUCCAGCCUUAAGCGUUUCCAUUAGAAAAUUCUGUCAGCUCCCAUGGUGUUCUCUCCAAACCCUGUCCUCAGACCAACCCCUCUCCCAAGGUGACCUGAAACACGGUGGAGCACUUAGCUGCUUUCUGGGUGCUGAUGGCUUUCUUAAAUCAUCUCUAGUCAUUAAGAGAACGGGUGGGGCCGUUUGCAUUUUAAAAAGACUUCUCUUCUAAAUAGCGUGGCUCUCACUGGAAGUUGCAGUAUGAUCCAGAGUGCUCUCUUGUUUCCGUGUUCCCUCCUACCCCAGUUCCCUCUUACCCCAGUGCCCCUUACCCCAGUGCCCCACAUGAUCACAUUCAAUUUCAUGGCCAUAGCAAAUUGUCAGAGCAUAGUAAAUUGCCUUUCUGACAUUCUGGGCCCCUUCAGCAGGAUUUUACUUUAUUUUCUUAAACAGCCUAUAACUUUUAUCACACAUUAAGAUUAGCAACUGCCACUAUCUGUGACGGGAGAGUCUCCCAUGAUUACACCAGAAGUCCCUGGGUUCAUCUCCCCCAUUCCUGGUGAUAAUUGCUAUGUCACGAGGUCGAACAAUGUGUAAGCUUCAAGACUGGCCUCCUAGUACUAGCUUUUCAGACAAAGCCUUGGCAUGGAACCCAGGUUGGCCUCAAAUUCCUGAUUUCCUGCUUCAGCCUCCAGAACAUUGAGGUCACAGGUGUGUGCCACCACACCAGGCUCCAUCUGCCUUCGUUUCUUCCACAUCAUCCCUUUUGGUCAGUGAAUAGUAUUCCAGUGUAUGGAUAUAACACAGUCUGUCCAUUCACUGGUUGAAGAACACCAGCUGUAGACUACACUGGCUGCUGAGAUUCAUACGCAUGAGGUGCUAAUGCAUAUUCAUGGACAGGAUUAUGUGAGCAUCUACAGUUAACAGACAAGGUUAUCAGAGACAAAAGAGAUGAUGGACAGGCCAUCAAGUAAUGUGGACACAGCUGAACUGAGAACUGAACACGGAUACAAACUCUAGAGUCCAUGUCUGCCCAAUUAUGUCUAUGAUGGAAAAUCUUGUAGCUAAAAAAAAAAAAAAAAAACAUUAAAACCUCUUGAGCCUGA